This 459-nucleotide ribosomal RNA is filed under the name uncultured bacterium. Its description in RNAcentral is "partial 16S ribosomal RNA". It matches the Rfam family "Bacterial small subunit ribosomal RNA", at positions 338 to 795 of the family's 1533-position model. The record is from RNAcentral.
CCUACGGGGGGCAGCAGUGAGGAAUAUUGGUCAAUGGCCGCAGGGCUGAACCAGCCAAGUCGCGUGAGGGAUGACGGUCCUAUGGAUUGUAAACCUCUUUUGCCAGGGAGCAAAGGGCGCCACGUGUGGCGUUUUGCGAGUACCUGAAGAAAAAGCAUCGGCUAACUCCGGGCCAGCAGCCGCGGUAAUACGGGGGAUGCGAGCGUUAUCCGGAUUUAUUGGGUUAAAAGGGUGCGCAGGCGGAAGGUCAAGUCAGCGGUAAAAGUUCGGGGCUAAACCCCGUAGUGCAUUUGAAACUGGCGAGCUUGAGUGAGCGAGAGGUAUGCGGAAGGCGUGGUGUAGCGGUGAAAUGCAUAGAGAUCACGAAGAACUCCGAUUGCGAAGGCAGCAUACCGGCGCUCAACUGACGCUCAUGCACGAAAGCGUGGGUAUCGAACAGGAUUAGAUACCCGUGUAGUC